RNAcentral lists this unclassified non-coding RNA (372 nucleotides) under Hevea brasiliensis (rubber tree). Lineage: Eukaryota; Viridiplantae; Streptophyta; Magnoliopsida; Malpighiales; Euphorbiaceae. The record is from RNAcentral.
CAUCUGUUGCUGGGCUCCUUUUCCCUGAAAAAGAAACUAUUAACUUGAAAAAGUAGAAGGUGAAUUUAAAAGUUUCAAGGGAAUGGUAACCAAAUAGCAGAGCGGAUGCUUAAAUAGGUAAAACUCAAGAUUGAUACGGGGAACACGGAGAUGGACCAGUAUAUAUGUUCUAAGUCUUAACAUAAUAGUAUUAAAUUAACUCAUUUACUCCUAGGCAUAAACAAACUAGGAAUUAGCAUUAUUAAUCUACCAAGCUAUAUACUUAUGUAUUGCAUAGUUCUAUUUUGAAUGGCCAUUGAACUAAUCAACGAUAUCAGAGUAUUCAUGUGAUAUAAUAAUAACAAAUUACAUUUGAACUGAAUGCACCACCAG